AUUAGAAAUAUUCGAACGUGUAAGGUGAAUUUGAAGAAAUUGGAGUUAUCUAUAGAACCAAUGAAUGUCAAAUAUAUGUGAGUGAUUUCAGGAAUGAGGAUGAAGUAAGGAAUCACAAGAAAUGAUGAAAAAGGAAAAAGACCAAAGACAUACCUGAAGAGCAAGCCGAGGCAGCUAGUGAAGGCAAAUACUGGUUUCUGAACCCAAAGGAAGAUAAAAAGGGAAGUUAAAAAAGAAGAAGACAACAAAAGAGAGAGAAAGGUCAAAGAAGGUAUAAAGACUGUUGUUGGUCGAGGUCUGGUCACAGCUCAGAACUUUGUUCAUAUACCAGAAAAAAGGAGGAAAAAACAAGAAGAAUGUGGAGGAAAGAGGAGAAAAAGACUAUUUUAUCCUUUUAUUUUUAACCGUUUUUGGGUUUGGUCAAACAUCAGAAUGCCAGAUUGUGAUGAGUUAUUUCAUGCUGUCGUGAAGGAAUGGAGAAAGCAAGUUCAACAAGGAAGAAAAGUGCAUGCCGUUUCGGUUAAGGAGUGUAGGGAGAGAGAUAGAGAGACGUCAUAGCAAACCUCUCCACCCAAUUUAUAAAACCAAACAACGGUUUCUAUUUUUCUUUCUUUUGUUAUAUUGUUUUUUUUAAUGGGCUGUCUCUGUUGAAUGUGAUGAGAUAUUUAACUGGACUCAAUAACAGUUUCCUAACUGACACUGUUCUUUGGUUGACUCCUUCCAUGGCUAUAUAAGAACAUUAAUGA
Long non-coding RNA from Brassica napus (rape), 746 nucleotides. RefSeq lists it as uncharacterized. The record is from RefSeq and is a predicted model, not a curated record. The transcript is spliced from 3 exons. NCBI's taxonomy places the organism in Eukaryota, Viridiplantae, Streptophyta, Magnoliopsida, Brassicales, Brassicaceae.